CGUUCUGUAAGCCUGUGAAGGUGUGUCGUGAGGCAUGCUGGAGGUAUCAGAAGUGCGAAUGCUGACAUAAGUAACGAUAAAGCGGGUGAAAAGCCCGCUCGCCGGAAGACCAAGGGUUCCUGUCCAACGUUAAUCGGGGCAGGGUGAGUCGACCCCUAAGGCGAGGCCGAAAGGCGUAGUCGAUGGGAAACGGGUUAAUAUUCCCGUACUUGGUGUUACUGCGAAGGGGGGACGGAGAAGGCUAUGUUGGCCGGGCGACGGUUGUCCCGGUUUAAGCGUGUAGGUGUGUGUUCCAGGUAAAUCCGGUU
RNAcentral lists this ribosomal RNA (308 nucleotides) under Salmonella enterica. RNAcentral's name for it is "bacterial LSU rRNA". It matches the Rfam family "Bacterial large subunit ribosomal RNA", at positions 1237 to 1547 of the family's 2925-position model. Lineage: Bacteria; Pseudomonadati; Pseudomonadota; Gammaproteobacteria; Enterobacterales; Enterobacteriaceae. The record is from RNAcentral. RNAcentral also lists the same sequence under 7 other names.